This 77-nucleotide transfer RNA is filed under the name Alphaproteobacteria bacterium. RNAcentral's name for it is "tRNA-Arg". It matches the Rfam family "tRNA". Rfam says of the family: Transfer RNA (tRNA) molecules are approximately 80 nucleotides in length. The record is from RNAcentral. Lineage: Bacteria; Pseudomonadati; Pseudomonadota; Alphaproteobacteria. RNAcentral also lists the same sequence under 2 other names.
GUCCCGGUAGCUCAGCUGGAUAGAGCACUGGUUUCCUAAACCAGGGGUCAGGGGUUCGACUCCCUUCCGGGACGCCA